AGUCCAUGAUGGGGACAUAACCUAAAUAAUUCUUUAAAUCUAUCCCAGGCGUCACAUAAAGACCCUCUCUUCCUUUUGAGUGAAAUUAGUGAUCUGAUUCCGAAGCU
Small nucleolar RNA from Dioscorea cayenensis subsp. rotundata (Guinea yam), 107 nucleotides. NCBI's taxonomy places the organism in Eukaryota, Viridiplantae, Streptophyta, Magnoliopsida, Dioscoreales, Dioscoreaceae. The record is from RefSeq and is a predicted model, not a curated record.